RNAcentral lists this ribosomal RNA (378 nucleotides) under uncultured bacterium. RNAcentral describes it as "partial 16S ribosomal RNA". It matches the Rfam family "Bacterial small subunit ribosomal RNA", at positions 338 to 733 of the family's 1533-position model. The record is from RNAcentral.
CCUACGGGAGGCAGCAGUGGGGAAUAUUGGACAAUGGUGGGAACACUGAUCCAGCGACGCCGCGUGAGUGAAGAAGUUUUACAGUACGUAAAGCCCUAUCAGCCGGAAAGCAAAUGCCGGGACGUGACUAAGGAGCCCCGGCCCAAUACGGGACCCCAGCCGCAGGAACAAGUAGGGGGCAAGCGUUAUCCGGAUUUACUGGGGGUAAAGGGGGCGUAGGCGGGAGCGCAAGUCUGGAGUGAAAUGCCGGGGGCCAACCCCCGAACCGCCGUGGAAACUGGGGCGCUGGAGUGGGGGAGAGGUAAGCGGAAUGCCCGGUGUAGCGGUGAAAUGCGUAGAUAUCGGGAGGAACACCGGCGGCGAAGGCGGCGUACCGGA